GAACUUGCCUCUUGGUCUGGGACAACUGUUGGAAACGACAGCUAAUACCGGAUAUUAUGAGAUUCUCGCAUGGGAAACUUAUGAAAGCUAUAUGCGCCAAGAGAGAGCCUUGCGUUCCAUUAGCUAGUUGGUGGGGUAACGGCCCACCAAGGCGACGAUGGAUAGCCGGCCUGAGAGGGUGAACGGCCACAAGGGGACUGAGACACGGCCCUUACUCCUGCGGGAGGCAGCAGUGGGGAAUAUUGGACAAUGGGCCACAAGCCUGAUCCAGCAAUUCUGUGUGCACGAUGAAGGUCUUCGGAUUGUAAAGUGCUUUCAGUUGGGAAGGAGAAAGUGACGGUACCAACAGAAGAAGCGACGGCUAAAUACGUGCCAGCAGCCGCGGUAAUACGUAUGUCGCAAGCGUUAUCCGGAUUUAUUGGGCGUAAAGCGCGUCUAGGCGGAAAAAUAAGUCUGAUGUUAAAAUGCGGGGCUCAACUCCGUAUUGCGUUGGAAACUGUUUUUCUAGAGUACUGGAGAGGUGGGCGGAACUACAAGUGUAGAGGUGAAAUUCGUAGAUAUUUGUAGGAAUGCCGAUGGAGAAGUCAGCUCACUGGACAGAUACUGACGCUGAAGCGCGAAAGCGUGGGGAGCAAAC
This 637-nucleotide ribosomal RNA is filed under the name uncultured bacterium. RNAcentral describes it as "bacterial SSU rRNA". It matches the Rfam family "Bacterial small subunit ribosomal RNA", at positions 122 to 773 of the family's 1533-position model. The record is from RNAcentral.